CGUGAGGAACCUGCCUUUCAGAGGGGGGACAACAGUUGGAAACGACUGCUAAUACCGCAUAACAUAUGUUUGUCGCAUGGCAGAUAUAUCAAAGAUUUAUCGCUGAGAGAUGGCCUCGCGUCUGAUUAGCUAGUUGGUAGGGUAACGGCCUACCAAGGCGACGAUCAGUAGCCGGACUGAGAGGUUGGCCGGCCACAUUGGGACUGAGAUACGGCCCAGACUCCUACGGAAGGCAGCAG
RNAcentral lists this ribosomal RNA (239 nucleotides) under uncultured bacterium. RNAcentral's name for it is "partial 16S ribosomal RNA". It matches the Rfam family "Bacterial small subunit ribosomal RNA", at positions 116 to 354 of the family's 1533-position model. The record is from RNAcentral.